CUAGAUUUGUUUCCCUUUCACUAACAGGGUUUUCUCUGUACUUGAGUACCACAAAAAGAAGAAAGCAUACCAAGGUGGGUGCUAGUGACUCCCACAGCUCUGUCCCCUCCCUACAGCCCUGCAGGCUCUACCUUCUCUAGCACCUAGCUUCCACCUCAGAAGUGAUGAGGAGCUCCACCAUAUUAAACUGACAAAUAUGACACAGCAGAAACAUUUCCACCUGAACCAGCGAGAAUUUACUGGCAGCCCUCAACUCAGCCACAGCAGGCCAGCACCUUCAAGAAGAAGGCAGAAUUCUCUCAGGUGGAAUGAAAUUAGAGCACCGCUGAAUUCGUGCCGCUGAUUUCACCUGAGCCUAAUUUUUUACUGACCAUCUUUACAGGAGCGUUAUACAACACCGGGGACUUCAAUGGAAGAAAGCUUAUUCCAUUUCUACCAUUACACUGGGAGAGCCUUCUCGGUGGUGCUGGAAGAAAGAAUUGCUUUAUCCAGACUCUCCUUGAGAAUUAUAAUAUGGUCAAACCUCCUCUAGUGUCUGGAGUGAGAGGAGCCAGAGAAAGCAUUACUUGGCUGAAGCUCCUCUGCAGUCAGUUGCCUUUUCCUACAGGCUACCAGCUGAGGAAGAUUAAAGGACUGCGGAGAUGAAGGAAGUUAUACUGGUCUUCUUGUCCAGCAUCUUCUACGGCCAGCUAGUAACUUCAGUCCCUAUGGCAUGCUGUAUCCCAGUUUCAGGAACAGUUACAAAUGAGAAACUUGUUCUCCUUAUAGGUUAAGACUUACUUACAAAAAUAAUGUGUUUCCUGACAUCUGCUAUGCCACUGUUAGGGAAAAAUGCUUUUUCUUGAAUUUAACAUGGCUACAUUUCCUGUAAAGGAAGGGACAUUUGGGAAACACACACAUACAAAGACUUAGAAUUCACCACAGUAGAUCUGAUCCUACCAGGAUUCUGCCUCUGAUAAUGAAAUGAACUGAAGGAAAUACAUGAAUAACUGUUUUCUAGCACUAAACUUCUGAUAUUUUUCUGUAUAAGUGACCAAGAUCCAAGUUCACGACGUUUGCUAAUAGCCAAUAACACUUUAAUAUCAUGUAGAAGAGCACUUCUUUUCUAAUAUUAAGCAUCCCCAUCUAUAUAUUCCACAGGUGCUGCAAUACAGAAGUUCCUCAUCUACCUGUCUGCAGCCAUUUAUUGCUUUAUAGACUUCUGUGUCUCCUCUAAGUCUUUUUAUUUAUAAAGUAAACAAGUUUUUCACUUCAUACAAGAGCUUUCCUAUGCCUUUAUUCAUCAUUUUCAUUCCUUCCCCAAACUCCCUCUAAUCCCACAGAAUCCUCUCUAAAAUAGUGACCUGUACUAUUCCAGGGGAAAACGUAAUUCUGAACCUGUAACAACAUGUCAACAAUUAUUUUUAUUGUUCCAAAUUACAUUCCUAACAAACCCUAAUUCAUCACAUUCCUAAUUAAUAAACACAGAUGCACAUUGCCA
RNAcentral lists this long non-coding RNA (1480 nucleotides) under Numida meleagris (helmeted guineafowl). RNAcentral's name for it is "lncRNA (ENSNMEG00000018988.1)". Lineage: Eukaryota; Metazoa; Chordata; Aves; Galliformes; Numididae. The record is from RNAcentral.